AGAGUUUGAUCCUGGCUCAGAACGAACGCUGGCGGCAGGCUUAACACAUGCAAGUCGAACGGACGUAGCAAUACGUUAGUGGCAGACGGGUGAGGAACACGUGGGAACAUUCCUUUCAGUUCGGAAUAACUCAGGGAAACUUGAGCUAAUACCGGAUACGUCCUUCGGGAGAAAGAUUUAUCGCUGAAAGAUUGGCCCGCGUCUGAUUAGCUAGUUGGUGAGGUAAUGGCUCACCAAGGCUACGAUCAGUAGCUGAUCUGAGAGGAUGAUCAGCCACAUUGGGACUGAGACACGGCCCAAACUCCUACGGGAGGCAGCAGUGGGGAAUAUUGGACAAUGGGCGCAAGCCUGAUCCAGCCAUGCCGCGUGAGUGAUGAAGGCCUUCGGGUUGUAAAGCUCUUUUGUCCGGGAAGAUAAUGACUGUACCGGAAGAAUAAGCCCCGGCAAACUUCGUGCCAGCAGCCGCGGUAAUACGAAGGGGGCUAGCGUUGUUCGGAUUUACUGGGCGUAAAGCGCACGUAGGCGGCCUGUUAAGUCAGAGGUGAAAGCCUGGAG
RNAcentral lists this ribosomal RNA (555 nucleotides) under uncultured freshwater bacterium. RNAcentral's name for it is "bacterial SSU rRNA". It matches the Rfam family "Bacterial small subunit ribosomal RNA", at positions 8 to 607 of the family's 1533-position model. The record is from RNAcentral.